RNA transcript from Zeugodacus cucurbitae (melon fly), 3079 nucleotides. RefSeq lists it as uncharacterized. The transcript has 16 exons. Lineage: Eukaryota; Metazoa; Arthropoda; Insecta; Diptera; Tephritidae. The record is from RefSeq and is a predicted model, not a curated record.
AUUGAAACAAAUUACAUCUAACUGUAUUCAAAUAAAAUUUUCAAAAUAUUUUUUGUGCUGAAUUUUUUUCGAAUAUUUUGUGAUUAUUACCAAAUAAAAUAUUUUAAACUAACUUUUAUAAAAGCAUUGAAAAAGUUUAUAUAAAACAGAUAAUGAAGUUUCUAUUUCAAUUACAACUAUAAGUGAAGUUUUUCAAAAACCUGAAUCAUGUAAACUGCAAUCGCCAUGCCCUCGGACACCCAGAAUUGUUCAUCGAAGCCAAUAUUUAAAGGAUUGACUCAAUCAUUUCUGAAUACUUUUGGCACGAAGGAAUUGCCAGCGGGAUACGUGAAAGGAGACGGUUAUGGUCCAAAGACGAAGAAACAACAUUUCGCAAAGUUAUUUACUCAAUUCUACAUUCUUAUAUUGCUGGCUAUUAUAUGUGUUUUUGCUUUUCUCCUGAUGAUUAUACUCUUGUUGUGGUAUUGCAACAGAGACAAAUAUAAAUCAGAGCCAUGUAGGAACCCAAAAUUAUGUACUAGAUUACUAACUUCAUUGCUUCUACUGUCGCUUAUAUUGCUAGCACUCUUCCUUUUCAUUACUUUCAAUAAUCUUUUGCAUCUAAAUAAAUUAUAUAAUAAAUCAAAUAAUGAAUCAAGAACUUCUGAUGGCGGGAUAAUUAAAGAUGUCAACGAAAUCCUUGGAAAGAAUUUUAGAGACUUAACAAAUACAUCAUUAUUUGAAUGCAGAAAAUCUCCGUCCCUGAUAGAUGUUUAUCCUGAAACAACAAACGCGAGAAAACUUUCAAUAGCCUACCGCCAAAUGUUCGAAAAUUUCAGAACAACAUCAGUCAAUCCAAUUUUCCAAAAUAUUUUACUGUAUGAUGAUUUAUUUCGCACGUUUUCCCGAAAUUUUAGUGCCUUUUAUGCACCAACGGCGUCUGGAAAGGUUCUUAUUUCUAAAACCAAAUCUACUCUCUAUAAUGAUCAAAUAUUUUCAUUACACAAAUGGGGGCAACUUUAUCAUUCUGCAGCCCCAAUUAAAUAUUUGAUGGAUUAUUAUAAAAAUACGGCGCGGUCGGACCAAAUACGGCCACGUGUCUGCGAUCAAAUUGGGAAAUACUUUACUACAUUAGCUUCGUAUGCCCAAGGGCAGAAGAGUUAUAUCGAAGGAAAGUUUAAAUCUAACUCCCUGAGCAGAGAUCCGGUUAUGGCGCCACCAUACAUAUUUGGUCAAAUAGUGUGCAUUAUGGCGAUUGUGAUUCUUGUGGUGUUUUUCUUAUUCUUAAUGUGCACAUUGUGUAUGAAAGGCCAUAUUAUGAUUAAGGCACUGUUAUUUAUUUUCAUAAUACUCACACUGCUUUUAAUACUGAUGUCGUUUGUUACAUUUUACCAUUUCUUCUAUGGGGUUAUUGAAUAUAAUGGAUUAUGUGAUAUAAAGGGAGACACGGCUGGAGAAGACAAUUUCAAUCACGUGAUGUUAACAGAAUGUACCAACGACCAGAAUUUAUAUACAUUACUGGUAGAACAUAAUAUGAUCGUGCCAUUUUCCAAGUGGAUUGAUAUAGAUGGAACAAAUAUAAUGAAAGUCUGCAAAGAUACAUGCCGUCCCUUGAACAAGUCGCUCCUAGAGGAGUUACGACCAAACGUUGAGGGUUUUCCGAAAAGGAAUCAAUUUUGUAAAUUUAAAAUGAUCACAUCUACGUGGCUUAUAUAUAUAGGUUUAUCACAUAUUUAUUAUGUUUCGGAAAAAAAUCCCGACUCCAUGGUUGACCUCGAUUCUAAAACAACUUAUUACUACAAUCGUGUCAACUCCACACUUUGCCUUUUGGAUUUGGCAAAUCAGGCAUACAAUUUUCACCCAAGUAUCAAUAGUAGAACACAAUAUAUGAAAUGCAGAGCUGCUUACAAAGUAGGUAAAGAUUUCCGCACGGUCUUUCCGAAUUCCAUUACGGAAGUGGGAACUAUGUGUGAUAAGACUACCAGUAAAUGUAAAGACUUUCACGAUCAAAAUAUACCAAAAAUCGUUGCUGAUGUAACUAAAUAUAAAGAAAAUGCUGAAGUCAGACUUAAGAAGGCGCUGGGAUCAUGUGCAAAUGUUCUUCCUAUAGUUACAACAAAACAAACAAAAUCAUGUGAUUGCGAAACGUAUAUACUGAACGGUGUCUGGGUUGGUGGUUUGCUGUUCGUACUAACUUUGUUAUUGGUGCUACUUUUGCUGAUCUGUUUAAUAUGUAAACUUGAAAGAUGUAGAGAUCCUUAUGGGGAUGGAAGUCGCAAAGGACAGCGUGGACGUGGAAAGUCGCAUGAUACCACCCCGGAGUCGAUACUACUGCCGGCGAUAACAUUACCAAGACGUGUAAUAGAUACACUAGAGCAUGAUGAAAAUCCCAGAGUUACCUACCACGUAAAAAAACAAAAUUAAUUGCGAGUGCCUGGGUCCGAUCGAUAUCCGAUAUAUAUUCUGUUCAUAUAGAAACAUUUGAAUGAAUAGCAUUGAAUGAUUAGACAGAGAAUAGUAAAUAGAACAGAAAGAAAAUAUUUGUUGUCACGAAUACUUAUAUUUUAUAAAUCAAUUAUUAUUCGAAAUUAAUACUGAUAUCAAAUGCGGUGAGCGUCAAACUACAAACGAAUUUUAUUAACGAAAAGUUUGAAACGUUAUUUGAGCCGACAACUAGGGAUCAUAAGGCUCCAUACAAGUUUGGAUACAUUAUAUGUAUUAUAGCCAUUGUGGUUCUUGCCAUUUUUCUAAUACUUCUAUUGUGCACUUACGAUUACGAGUUACAGAAUACGAUCGAUGAUUCUGAAAUUAAUGACGAUUGCUUAGACACUUGCAUCCCAUUGGAACGACAAUUAUUAAAUAUUUGGCAUAACUCCAUAAACGAAUAUCCAGAGGAAAAUUUGUGUCAAUAAAAGGAACAGAAUAAUAGUGGCUAAAUAUCAUCAUUAGCACCCGUCAGAAUUAUACGAAAGAUAACCGAAUUUUCGAUACUCUCCCAAAUAAAAUUAAUUUUCUCGAUAUUUAUAAUGAAUUUUGUGACAAAUAUAAGAUUGGGACCACCCGUGCAUUCGACGUUGGCAAAUUCCGAAUGUCAAGGUUA